UUUGACCCCUUUUUUCUUCAUCAUGUUAUAAAUAUCUGAUCAAUGUGGCUACAGUGCUACGAUCAAAAUUCCGAUCAUCCUUAAGAUGAUUUAAAAGCAAAAAAAAAAAAAAAAAACGAGGGG
Drosophila miranda is the source of this 123-nucleotide long non-coding RNA. RefSeq lists it as uncharacterized. The record is from RefSeq and is a predicted model, not a curated record. NCBI's taxonomy places the organism in Eukaryota, Metazoa, Arthropoda, Insecta, Diptera, Drosophilidae. The transcript is spliced from 2 exons.